CCUACGGGUGGCAGCAGUGGGGAAUAUUGGGCAAUGGGCGCAAGCCUGACCCAGCAACGCCGCGUGAAGGAAGAAGGCUUUCGGGUUGUAAACUUCUUUUUUCAGGGACGAAGCAAGUGACGGUACCUGAGGAAUAAGCCACGGCUAACUACGUGCCAGCAGCCGCGGUAAUACGUAGGUGGCAAGCGUUAUCCGGAUUUACUGGGUGUAAAGGGCGUGUAGGCGGGACUGCAAGUCAGGUGUGAAAACCACGGGCUCAACCUGUGCCCUGCAUCUGAAACUGUAGUUCUUGAGUACUGGGGAGGCAGGCGGAAUUCGUGGUGUAGCGGUGAAAUGCGUAGAUAUUAGGAGGAACACCGAUGGCGAAGGCAGUCUGCUGGAGAGCAACUGACGCUGAGGCGCGAAAGCGUGGGGAGCAAACAGGAUUAGAUACCCUUGUAGUC
This 443-nucleotide ribosomal RNA is filed under the name uncultured bacterium. RNAcentral's name for it is "partial 16S ribosomal RNA". It matches the Rfam family "Bacterial small subunit ribosomal RNA", at positions 338 to 795 of the family's 1533-position model. The record is from RNAcentral.